UGCACCUUGUGACCCUCUCCCCUGCGAAC
RNAcentral lists this non-coding RNA (29 nucleotides) under Homo sapiens (human). Lineage: Eukaryota; Metazoa; Chordata; Mammalia; Primates; Hominidae. The record is from RNAcentral.